RNAcentral lists this ribosomal RNA (1362 nucleotides) under Kocuria sp. RNAcentral describes it as "bacterial SSU rRNA". It matches the Rfam family "Bacterial small subunit ribosomal RNA", at positions 67 to 1438 of the family's 1533-position model. The record is from RNAcentral. Lineage: Bacteria; Bacillati; Actinomycetota; Actinomycetes; Micrococcales; Micrococcaceae.
CGAUGAUGCCCAGCUUGCUGGGUGGAUUAGUGGCGAACGGGUGAGUAAUACGUGAGUAACCUGCCCUUGACUCUGGGAUAAGCCUGGGAAACUGGGUCUAAUACUGGAUACUACUUCCUGCCGCAUGGUGGGUGGUGGAAAGGGUUUUACUGGUUUUGGAUGGGCUCACGGCCUAUCAGCUUGUUGGUGGGGUAAUGGCUCACCAAGGCGACGACGGGUAGCCGGCCUGAGAGGGUGACCGGCCACACUGGGACUGAGACACGGCCCAGACUCCUACGGGAGGCAGCAGUGGGGAAUAUUGCACAAUGGGCGGAAGCCUGAUGCAGCGACGCCGCGUGAGGGAUGACGGCCUUCGGGUUGUAAACCUCUUUCAGUAGGGAAGAAGCGAGAGUGACGGUACCUGCAGAAGAAGCGCCGGCUAACUACGUGCCAGCAGCCGCGGUAAUACGUAGGGCGCAAGCGUUGUCCGGAAUUAUUGGGCGUAAAGAGCUCGUAGGCGGUUUGUCGCGUCUGCUGUGAAAGCCCGGGGCUCAACCCCGGGUCUGCAGUGGGUACGGGCAGACUAGAGUGCAGUAGGGGAGACUGGAAUUCCUGGUGUAGCGGUGAAAUGCGCAGAUAUCAGGAGGAACACCGAUGGCGAAGGCAGGUCUCUGGGCUGUUACUGACGCUGAGGAGCGAAAGCAUGGGGAGCGAACAGGAUUAGAUACCCUGGUAGUCCAUGCCGUAAACGUUGGGCACUAGGUGUGGGGGACAUUCCACGUUUUCCGCGCCGUAGCUAACGCAUUAAGUGCCCCGCCUGGGGAGUACGGCCGCAAGGCUAAAACUCAAAGGAAUUGACGGGGGCCCGCACAAGCGGCGGAGCAUGCGGAUUAAUUCGAUGCAACGCGAAGAACCUUACCAAGGCUUGACAUUCACCGGACCGCCCCAGAGAUGGGGUUUCCCUUCGGGGCUGGUGGACAGGUGGUGCAUGGUUGUCGUCAGCUCGUGUCGUGAGAUGUUGGGUUAAGUCCCGCAACGAGCGCAACCCUCGUUCUAUGUUGCCAGCACGUGAUGGUGGGGACUCAUAGGAGACUGCCGGGGUCAACUCGGAGGAAGGUGGGGAUGACGUCAAAUCAUCAUGCCCCUUAUGUCUUGGGCUUCACGCAUGCUACAAUGGCCGGUACAAAGGGUUGCGAUACUGUGAGGUGGAGCUAAUCCCAAAAAGCCGGUCUCAGUUCGGAUUGAGGUCUGCAACUCGACCUCAUGAAGUCGGAGUCGCUAGUAAUCGCAGAUCAGCAACGCUGCGGUGAAUACGUUCCCGGGCCUUGUACACACCGCCCGUCAAGUCACGAAAGUUGGUAACACCCGAAGCCGGUGGCCUAA